Myodes glareolus (Bank vole) is the source of this 1166-nucleotide non-coding RNA. NCBI's taxonomy places the organism in Eukaryota, Metazoa, Chordata, Mammalia, Rodentia, Cricetidae. The record is from RefSeq and is a predicted model, not a curated record.
CAGCUGAAAUAUGGAUAAGAAAACGGAAAUCAAAUUACAAGAGGGGGAAAGUCUGAGGAAGAGGACACACAGAGCUGCCAGAGGCAGGCAGGCGAGGAAACCUGCAGCCCUUGCUGGCUCGCUCAAACUCUGGUGACUCCAACAGCCUCCAAGAUAUGCUGAGCUGAGGCUGCGGGUCUAACUUGCAACUGUAGGCACCUACUAGGUUUAAUUCCUCAUUGUCAAAGUCCCCAGAGCUGGGACAUAAAAUGCCAUGGAGGCCACAGUUAGGAGCUCCUGGAGCCCCUGGGCUUAGCUGCCAAGGGUGUCCUGAAAGGUUGCUUCUGAAGCCUUGAGGAUUGUUCCUCUUUAGCACAAGAUGUUUCAGACUGUCCCUGACACAUCGUCUUAUGUCAAGUCUACCAGCCUGCGGAUUCUGCCCAAGCGGUUUUCUGGGGGAGACGUCCUCCCUACCCACCUUUGCUCCCAGACAAGGCGAAGCUGCUGGAUCCUGAACCUGCACAGAGACUCUGCCCAUAAGUAUCUGGCGUGCAGGUCCUGAAGCUGCGCUUCAAGCACAGUGGUCGAUAUAUUUGGAGUGACUAUUGUAUGGGACUACUGGGAGGUCGGGUUUGCUGAGAUUCCAGAAGCUGAACCCACCGGCAACCUCCAUAGUCCCCAUCGAGGCGCCGCCACUGGAUGAGGGUCGUGGCUGGUCUCCACCUCCUGUCAGCCUGCGCUCUCUGGUCAGCCUCUGACUCCCUCGGGGGUUUCCUCAAUGACGCCGAGUGGUCUGGGGGUUCGGCUUCCAACUGCCUGGGACUCGGGUCUCCAAGACCCUUCUGGCCUGAACCCUCCCACCCCCCUUGCGGCUCUGUAGGCGCUGUGGCCUCCCACGUAGCGUUUUGAACUGGGUCGGUGCUAAAGCAAGAAUGAACGUGGGGAGUGGGCUGGGUGAGCAGAGGCUCUAAAUCUUCCUUCAGUCUGUGAGUGGAUGAAGUCUAAGAAACAAAUUCAAAGCAGGCGCGCCUGCAGAGCCUUCCUGCAGAAAUAGUCCCCAGCAUUCAAGCGCAUCCAGGGGCGGCUCAAGCUGCCUUGUUUGGCUAAGGUCAGACGAGACUCGAGUUCUCCAAUAAAAAUAAAUCUCAAAUUAAUUAUGGCCUCGAGCGAGAGGCCAGACACUUGAA